Molecule: microRNA, 21 nt
Filed under: Prunus persica (peach)
Lineage: Eukaryota; Viridiplantae; Streptophyta; Magnoliopsida; Rosales; Rosaceae
Description: ppe-miR477a-3p
Gene: ppe-miR477a-3p
Source: miRBase by way of RNAcentral
GUUGGGGGCUCUUUUGGGACG